This 65-nucleotide transfer RNA is filed under the name Lirapex sp. ZZ-2022. RNAcentral describes it as "tRNA-Leu". Lineage: Eukaryota; Metazoa; Mollusca; Gastropoda; Neomphalida; Peltospiridae. The record is from RNAcentral.
GUUAAGUUGGCAGAGGAAAUGUGAUUGAGUUAGGUUCAAUAGAUGAAAAUAAUUUUCACUUAACU